AACGAACGCUGGCGGCAUGCCUAACACAUGCAAGUCGAACGAGCCCUUCGGGUCUAGUGGCGCACGGGUGCGUAACGCGUGGGAACCUGCCCUUAGGUUCGGAAUAACUCCCCGAAAGGGGUGCUAAUACCGGAUAAUGUCUUCGGACCAAAGAUUUAUCGCCUUUGGAUGGGCCCGCGUUGGAUUAGCUAGUUGGUAGGGUAACAGCCCACCAAGGCGACGAUCCAUAGCUGGUCUGAGAGGAUGAUCAGCCACACUGGGACUGAGACACGGCCCAGACUCCUACGGGAGGCAGCAGUGGGGAAUAUUGGACAAUGGGCGAAAGCCUGAUGCAGCAAUGCCGCGUGAAUGAUGAAGGCCUUAGGAUUGUAAAGCUCUUUUACCCGGGAUGAUAAUGACAGUACCGGGAGAAGAAGCUCCGGCUAACUCCGUG
RNAcentral lists this ribosomal RNA (433 nucleotides) under uncultured bacterium. Its description in RNAcentral is "partial 16S ribosomal RNA". It matches the Rfam family "Bacterial small subunit ribosomal RNA", at positions 29 to 507 of the family's 1533-position model. The record is from RNAcentral.